This 1080-nucleotide ribosomal RNA is filed under the name Janibacter anophelis. RNAcentral's name for it is "bacterial SSU rRNA". It matches the Rfam family "Bacterial small subunit ribosomal RNA", at positions 221 to 1311 of the family's 1533-position model. Lineage: Bacteria; Bacillati; Actinomycetota; Actinomycetes; Micrococcales; Intrasporangiaceae. The record is from RNAcentral.
UGGGAUGGGCUCGCGGCCUAUCAGCUUGUUGGUGAGGUAAUGGCUCACCAAGGCGACGACGGGUAGCCGGCCUGAGAGGGCGACCGGCCACACUGGGACUGAGACACGGCCCAGACUCCUACGGGAGGCAGCAGUGGGGAAUAUUGCACAAUGGGCGAAAGCCUGAUGCAGCGACGCCGCGUGAGGGAUGACGGCCUUCCGGGUUGUAAACCUCUUUCAGCAGGGAAGAAGCGAAAGUGACGGUACCUCGCAGAAGAAGCACCGGCUAACUACGUGCCAGCAGCCGCGGUAAUACGUAGGGUGCGAGCGUUGUCCGGAAUUAUUGGGCGUAAAGAGCUUGUAGGCGGUUUGUCGCGUCUGCUGUGAAAAUCCGGGGCUCAACCCCGGACUUGCAGUGGGUACGGGCAGACUAGAGUGUGGUAGGGGAGACUGGAAUUCCUGGUGUAGCGGUGAAAUGCGCAGAUAUCAGGAGGAACACCGAUGGCGAAGGCAGGUCUCUGGGCCACUACUGACGCUGAGAAGCGAAAGCAUGGGGAGCGAACAGGAUUAGAUACCCUGGUAGUCCAUGCCGUAAACGUUGGGCGCUAGGUGUGGGACUCAUUCCACGAGUUCCGUGCCGCAGCUAACGCAUUAAGCGCCCCGCCUGGGGAGUACGGCCGCAAGGCUAAAACUCAAAGGAAUUGACGGGGGCCCGCACAAGCGGCGGAGCAUGCGGAUUAAUUCGAUGCAACGCGAAGAACCUUACCAAGGCUUGACAUAUACCGGAAACAUCCAGAGAUGGGUGCCCCUUUUAGGUCGGUAUACAGGUGGUGCAUGGUUGUCGUCAGCUCGUGUCGUGAGAUGUUGGGUUAAGUCCCGCAACGAGCGCAACCCUCGUUCUAUGUUGCCAGCACGUUAUGGUGGGGACUCAUGGAAGACUGCCGGGGUCAACUCGGAGGAAGGUGGGGAUGACGUCAAAUCAUCAUGCCCCUUAUGUCUUGGGCUUCACGCAUGCUACAAUGGCCGGUACAAAGGGCUGCGAAACCGUAAGGUGGAGCGAAUCCCAAAAAACCGGUCUCAGUUCGGAUUGGGGUCUGCAAC